This 83-nucleotide ribosomal RNA is filed under the name Clostridiales bacterium. The record is from RNAcentral. Lineage: Bacteria; Bacillati; Bacillota; Clostridia; Eubacteriales.
CCAUCCCGAACACGGAAGUUAAGCUUUCCAGAGCCGAGGGUACUUGCUUGGCAACGAGCCGGGAGAGUAGGUCGUCGCCGUAA